This 664-nucleotide ribosomal RNA is filed under the name Enterococcaceae bacterium. RNAcentral's name for it is "bacterial SSU rRNA". It matches the Rfam family "Bacterial small subunit ribosomal RNA", at positions 825 to 1489 of the family's 1533-position model. The record is from RNAcentral. Lineage: Bacteria; Bacillati; Bacillota; Bacilli; Lactobacillales; Enterococcaceae.
GGAGGGUUUCCGCCCUUCAGUGCUGCAGCAAACGCAUUAAGCACUCCGCCUGGGGAGUACGACCGCAAGGUUGAAACUCAAAGGAAUUGACGGGGGCCCGCACAAGCGGUGGAGCAUGUGGUUUAAUUCGAAGCAACGCGAAGAACCUUACCAGGUCUUGACAUCCUUUGACCACUCUAGAGAUAGAGCUUUCCCUUCGGGGACAAAGUGACAGGUGGUGCAUGGUUGUCGUCAGCUCGUGUCGUGAGAUGUUGGGUUAAGUCCCGCAACGAGCGCAACCCUUAUUGUUAGUUGCCAUCAUUCAGUUGGGCACUCUAGCGAGACUGCCGGUGACAAACCGGAGGAAGGUGGGGAUGACGUCAAAUCAUCAUGCCCCUUAUGACCUGGGCUACACACGUGCUACAAUGGGAAGUACAACGAGUCGCUAGGCCGCGAGGUCAUGCAAAUCUCUUAAAGCUUCUCUCAGUUCGGAUUGUAGGCUGCAACUCGCCUACAUGAAGCCGGAAUCGCUAGUAAUCGCGGAUCAGCACGCCGCGGUGAAUACGUUCCCGGGCCUUGUACACACCGCCCGUCACACCACGAAAGUUUGUAACACCCGAAGUCGGUGAGGUAACCUUUUGGAGCCAGCCGCCUAAGGUGGGAUAGAUGAUUGGGGUGAAGUCGU